Long non-coding RNA from Dendroctonus ponderosae (mountain pine beetle), 130 nucleotides. RefSeq lists it as uncharacterized. NCBI's taxonomy places the organism in Eukaryota, Metazoa, Arthropoda, Insecta, Coleoptera, Curculionidae. The transcript is spliced from 2 exons. The record is from RefSeq and is a predicted model, not a curated record.
AAUGCCAACAUUUUUGGAAUCGGUUUCUGAUAUUAUUUUGAAGACUGGCAAAUACCUUAAUGUUAUCAGGCAGUGUGGCAAACCAGUAAAAACCACCGUUUACCCAAUUCAAUAUAAAUUCGAGGAAAAA